AGCGGCGGACGGGUGAGUAACACGUGGGUAACCUGCCCAAGAGAUCGGGAUAACACCUGGAAACAGAUGCUAAUACCGGAUAACAACAGAUGAUGCCUAUCAACUGUUUAAAAGAUGGUUCUGCUAUCACUCUUGGAUGGACCUGCGGUGCAUUAGCUAGUUGGUAGGGUAACGGCCUACCAAGGCGAUGAUGCAUAGCCGAGUUGAGAGACUGAUCGGCCACAUUGGGACUGAGACACGGCCCAAACUCC
Molecule: ribosomal RNA, 251 nt
Filed under: uncultured Lactobacillus sp.
Lineage: Bacteria; Bacillati; Bacillota; Bacilli; Lactobacillales; Lactobacillaceae
Description: partial 16S ribosomal RNA
Rfam family: Bacterial small subunit ribosomal RNA
Source: RNAcentral